UAGGGAAUCUUCCGCAAUGGACGCAAGUCUGACGGAGCAACGCCGCGUGAGUGAAGAAGGAUUUCGGUUCGUAAAACUCUGUUGUUAGAGAAGAACAGCGCAUAGAGUAACUGUUAUGCGUGUGACGGUAUCUAACCAGAAAGCCACGGCUAACUACGUGCCAGCAGCCGCGGUAAUACGUAGGUGGCAAGCGUUGUCCGGAUUUAUUGGGCGUAAAGCGAGCGCAGGCGGUCAAUUAAGUCUGAUGUGAAAGCCCCCGGCUCAACCGGGGAGGGUCAUUGGAAACUGGUUGACUUGAGUGCAGAAGAGGAAAGUGGAAUUCCUAGUGUAGCGGUGAAAUGCGCAGAUAUUAGGAGGAAUACCGGUGGCGAAGGCGACUUUCUGGCCAUAAUCUGACGCUGAGGUACGAAAGCGUGGGUAGCAAACAGG
Molecule: ribosomal RNA, 429 nt
Filed under: Bacteroidota bacterium
Lineage: Bacteria; Pseudomonadati; Bacteroidota
Description: Bacteroidetes bacterium partial 16S ribosomal RNA
Rfam family: Bacterial small subunit ribosomal RNA
Source: RNAcentral